RNAcentral lists this long non-coding RNA (702 nucleotides) under Ananas comosus (pineapple). RNAcentral describes it as "long non-coding RNA (ACOM_LNC003443)". The record is from RNAcentral. Lineage: Eukaryota; Viridiplantae; Streptophyta; Magnoliopsida; Poales; Bromeliaceae.
UGUUUACAUAUUCUCACCUCCCCUACCAUUUUUCAGGUAUCGCGUGCGGUGAGGGUUGAGACGAGACGUGAGAUACGUACGUAGCGGUUGAUAGAGCUUCCGACCAAGGUUAUUCGGUUUAGUUUCUACCCUUGCUAUUCUGUUGAUAUAGGUUAGAUAGUUUAUAUGGUUCAGUAUUUUUAUUACAUUUGAAAAUGUGGGUUUUCAUGAAUCUAAUAAAUGGAUUUGUGGAUUUUGUGAAACGAAAAAUAAUUUUCUACCCCUCGUGGUAACGCGUUUUAAAAGAAAAGAGUUUAUGUGUGGGAAACAACUUUUAAAAGGUUUUUCGUAGUUUUCAUAACUAAGUAUUUCAAAACCCGUUUUUGAGUUGAAAACGUUUUAACUGAUAGUUGUGAUUUUAUGUUCAAAUCAUGAAUGUGAACCUGUGGUGAAUGGUGUAUGGAUAUAUAUAGAUGUUGGAUGUCUGUAUGUUCAGUGUAGUGGUUGUAUCCUGGUUAUGUACUUGUACUUGUGCGAUGCCGUACAAAUAUAGGGGAGACUCUGUCCGUGUGAAUAGUGGACUUCCUAUAUUUGUGGCGGAUCUGGCAUACCCCGUGGUCAGGUUUUCAAAAAAAAAAAAUUCGCUGUGUUUUAACCUAAAAGGGAUCUCGGGGCGUGACAGCAGUUGAUCGAGCAAAUGAAGCGGUUGAAGUUGGAAGUGGU